Molecule: non-coding RNA, 204 nt
Organism: Oryza punctata
Lineage: Eukaryota; Viridiplantae; Streptophyta; Magnoliopsida; Poales; Poaceae
Source: Rfam
UUAAAGUUCAGCCAUAAUUAUUGAGUCCAACUUUUUGAUCGUAUGUCUUAUUUGAAUUUAUUUUAUGAUUAGUAUUUUUAUUGUUAUUAGAUUAUGAAACAUGAAUAGUACUUUAUAUAUGACUUAUGUUUUUAUUUUUUAAAAAAGAUUUCAAAUAAGACGAACGAUUAAAGUUGGACACGAAAACUUAUCACUACGCUUAAA